AGACCCGAAACCCGGUGAUCUAGCCAUGGGCAGGUUGAAGGUUGGGUAACACUAACUGGAGGACCGAACCGACUAAUGUUGAAAAAUUAGCGGAUGACCUGUGGCUGGGGGUGAAAGGCCAAUCAAACCGGGAGAUAGCUGGUUCUCCCCGAAAGCUAUUUAGGUAGCGCCUCGUGAAUUCAUCUCCGGGGGUAGAGCACUGUUUCGGCUAGGGGGCCAUCCCGGCUUACCAACCCGAUGCAAACUGCGAAUACCGGAGAAUGUUAUCACGGGAGACACACGGCGGGUGCUAACGUCCGUCGUGAAGAGGGAAACAACCCAGACCGCCAGCUAAGGUCCCAAAGUCAUGGUUAAGUGGGAAACGAUGUGGGAAGGCCCAGACAGCCAGGAUGUUGGCUUAGAAGCAGCCAUCAUUUAAAGAAAGCGUAAUAGCUCACUGGUCGAGUCGGCCUGCGCGGAAGAUGUAACGGGGCUAAACCAUGCACCGAAGCUGCGGCAGCGAACGUAUCACUUAAAGCGAUUCAGCGGGUUACGAUUGACGGAGCGAAGCGACGUCAAAGCGUAUACAAAGUCGAGUCGGUUUAAGGAUACGUUCGUUGGGUAGGGGAGCGUUCUGUAAGCCUGUGAAGGUGGCCUGUGAGGGUUGCUGGAGGUAUCAGAAGUGCGAAUGCUGACAUAAGUAACGAUAAAGCGGGUGAAAAGCCCGCUCGCCGGAAGACCAAGGGUUCCUGUCCAACGUUAAUCGGGGCAGGGUGAGUCGACCCCUAAGGCGAGGCCGAAAGGCGUAGUCGAUGGGAAACAGGUUAAUAUUCCUGUACUUGGUG
Molecule: ribosomal RNA, 824 nt
Filed under: Salmonella enterica
Lineage: Bacteria; Pseudomonadati; Pseudomonadota; Gammaproteobacteria; Enterobacterales; Enterobacteriaceae
Description: partial 23S ribosomal RNA
Rfam family: Bacterial large subunit ribosomal RNA
Source: RNAcentral